Long non-coding RNA from Sander lucioperca (pikeperch), 294 nucleotides. RefSeq lists it as uncharacterized. Lineage: Eukaryota; Metazoa; Chordata; Actinopteri; Perciformes; Percidae. The record is from RefSeq and is a predicted model, not a curated record. The transcript is spliced from 2 exons.
CCCAGUAAAAAAAUUGUUUGUCGACACAUUAUUUUUGCCUCUUAAAAUGCUACUCACAAUGAGGCUCAACAUAAAACAUCAUUGAGAUACAGCCAAACAAAAUAUUAAAACAAACAAAUACAAAAGGUGAAAGUCAGCGUAGAUAGAACUGGGGGAUUGUCAUUUAGUAGAUAAGCUCUCCCAUGACUGGAUUCCACCCUCCUGGGUCCUGCAGAGAGAGGCUACAGAAGCCUGUCCAGACGGUCAUCAUCUAAAAUCACAUUCCAAUAUUGAACAUUUUCUGCACAAUAAAAA